RNAcentral lists this long non-coding RNA (337 nucleotides) under Calidris pygmaea (Spoon-billed sandpiper). RNAcentral describes it as "lncRNA (ENSCPGG00000009804.1)". Lineage: Eukaryota; Metazoa; Chordata; Aves; Charadriiformes; Scolopacidae. The record is from RNAcentral.
UAUUUAUCCUCUAAGCUUCUCCAAAUGCCCAGAAUCCUGCAGGAUGGAAUACAGAGAGAAGAAAAAAGAUGAGCUAUUUGCUUCUUCAUGGUCAUCUUCUGGGAAUGGAAAGAGAACCUGCACCUCACCUGACCAAACAGAAGUGCCCUCUAUGACUCAAGCGUUGACAUCUUCCCAACAAAAACUUCACAAUCAGUUCAUACAGCAGAAGACCUCCCCAGAAUAUCAAUACCUCACCUCAAAAAAUAGAAAAAUGCAACGUGUAUGAGGUCAAUGUAAAGCAGAGGGAAAUCACUCUGUUCAUGAAUAAAAUUACCUACAAUAAAAAAUGCCUUCA